GACGAACGCUGGCGGCGUGCCUAAUACAUGCAAGUAGAACGCUGAAGGAGGAGCUUGCUCUUCUGGAUGAGUUGCGAACGGGUGAGUAACGCGUAGGUAACCUGCCUGGUAGCGGGGGAUAACUAUUGGAAACGAUAGCUAAUACCGCAUAAGAGUAGAUGUUGCAUGACAUUUGCUUAAAAGGUGCAAUUGCAUCACUACCAGAUGGACCUGCGUUGUAUUAGCUAGUUGGUGGGGUAACGGCUCACCAAGGCGACGAUACAUAGCCGACCUGAGAGGGUGGUCGGCCACACUGGGACUGAGACACGGCCCAGACUCCUACGGGAGGCAGCAGUAGGGAAUCUUCGGCAAUGGACGGAAGUCUGACCGAGCAACGCCGCGUGAGUGAAGAAGGUUGUCGGAUCGGAAAGCUCUGUUGUAAGAGAAGAACGAGUGUGAGAGUGGAAAGUUCACACUGUGACGGUAUCUGACCAGAAAGGGACGGCUAACUACGUG
This 495-nucleotide ribosomal RNA is filed under the name uncultured bacterium. RNAcentral's name for it is "partial 16S ribosomal RNA". It matches the Rfam family "Bacterial small subunit ribosomal RNA", at positions 28 to 507 of the family's 1533-position model. The record is from RNAcentral.